This 496-nucleotide ribosomal RNA is filed under the name uncultured bacterium. RNAcentral's name for it is "partial 16S ribosomal RNA". It matches the Rfam family "Bacterial small subunit ribosomal RNA", at positions 28 to 506 of the family's 1533-position model. The record is from RNAcentral.
GAUGAACGCUGGCGGCGUGCCUAAUACAUGCAAGUAGAACGCUGAAGCUUGGUGCUUGCACCGAGCGGAUGAGUUGCGAACGGGUGAGUAACGCGUAGGUAACCUGCCUCUUAGCGGGGGAUAACUAUUGGAAACGAUAGCUAAUACCGCAUAAAAGUCGAUAUCGCAUGAUAUUGAUUUGAAAGGUGCAAAUGCAUCACUAAGAGAUGGACCUGCGUUGUAUUAGCUAGUUGGUGAGGUAACGGCUCACCAAGGCGACGAUACAUAGCCGACCUGAGAGGGUGAUCGGCCACACUGGGACUGAGACACGGCCCAGACUCCUACGGGAGGCAGCAGUAGGGAAUCUUCGGCAAUGGGGGCAACCCUGACCGAGCAACGCCGCGUGAGUGAAGAAGGUUUUCGGAUCGUAAAGCUCUGUUGUAAGAGAAGAACGAGUGUGAGAGUGGAAAGUUCACACUGUGACGGUAACUUACCAGAAAGGGACGGCGAACUACGU